GUUAAUGCUUUUAAAUAAUGAUAAUAACAAUAACAGUAACAAAAAAAAUCCUCACUAAUCAUCUUGAUGAUAUAUUAUGAUAAAUAAAUCCUUAAGUGAAUAGUCUAGUGAGCACGACGGAUUUCACAUUUCACCAUUUUCAUUGUGUAUGUGAAUUUACAAAUGCGAUAGUAAAUGAGUUCAACUGACUUUGUAGAGGUCCUUGGCAUUAUCAGCCUUAAUGUGAAUAUCCCGAUAUACAGCGAAAUUGCUGCCGCUGUACACACAUCAACGUCGAUCAAGUUAUUAAACUUCUUUUUUAGAGUACUUUUUGUUUGAUUUUAUUGUUGUUGUUGAUCUAUUGACUAGUUGCUGUACAAGUGAAACCUGAUAAUGUAAAAAUGUCAAGGUAGUGAUGUGGGAAUUGAAUGAGUAACAAUAAUUGUUAUAUAAAAAAUAAAGCGAUACAUAUGCAACAAAACAUUA
Long non-coding RNA from Bactrocera dorsalis (oriental fruit fly), 465 nucleotides. RefSeq lists it as uncharacterized. NCBI's taxonomy places the organism in Eukaryota, Metazoa, Arthropoda, Insecta, Diptera, Tephritidae. The transcript has 2 exons. The record is from RefSeq and is a predicted model, not a curated record.